AUUGAACGCUGGCGGCAGGCCUAACACAUGCAAGUCGAACGGUAACAGGAAGAAGCUUGCUUCUUUGCUGACGAGUGGCGGACGGGUGAGUAAUGUCUGGGAAACUGCCUGAUGGAGGGGGAUAACUACUGGAAACGGUAGCUAAUACCGCAUAACGUCGCAAGACCAAAGAGGGGGACCUUCGGGCCUCUUGCCAUCGGAUGUGCCCAGAUGGGAUUAGCUAGUAGGUGGGGUAACGGCUCACCUAGGCGACGAUCCCUAGCUGGUCUGAGAGGAUGACCAGCCACACUGGAACUGAGACACGGUCCAGACUCCUACGGGAGGCAGCAGUGGGGAAUAUUGCACAAUGGGCGCAAGCCUGAUGCAGCCAUGCCGCGUGUAUGAAGAAGGCCUUCGGGUUGUAAAGUACUUUCAGCGGGGAGGAAGGGAGUAAAGUUAAUACCUUUGCUCAUUGACGUUACCCGCAGAAGAAGCACCGGCUAACUCCGUGCCAGCAGCCGCGGUAAUACGGAGGGUGCAAGCGUUAAUCGGAAUUACUGGGCGUAAAGCGCACGCAGGCGGGUUUGUUAAGUCAGAUGUGAAAUCCCCGGGCUCAACCUGGGAACUGCAUCUGAUACUGGCAAGCUUGAGUCUCGUAGAGGGGGGUAGAAUUCCAGGUGUAGCGGUGAAAUGCGUAGAGAUCUGGGAGGAAUACCGGUGGCGAAGGCGGCCCCCUGUACGAAAACUGACACUCAGUGCGAAAGCGUGGGGAGCAAACAGG
Molecule: ribosomal RNA, 760 nt
Filed under: uncultured Enterobacteriaceae bacterium
Lineage: Bacteria; Pseudomonadati; Pseudomonadota; Gammaproteobacteria; Enterobacterales; Enterobacteriaceae
Description: bacterial SSU rRNA
Rfam family: Bacterial small subunit ribosomal RNA
Source: RNAcentral